CCCAGACCCUGCCGAGUUCUCCUGCCACUACCUGGGGGCCCUUCCCCGCUGGCCCUGAGAAGAGGACCGGAGUCUGUGGGUGGCCCACACCCUGGGCUCUGUGUGCAGCGCCCUGUGGGAGCAGGCUUGGGGCUGGGAGGGGGCAGCUCUGUAAGCAGAGGGGGGAUGGGCAGAUACCACUUCACUCCUGAAAAAGGAUCACGAUCUCUGUCCAUGUGGGAAUGGUUUCUACUGUCAGUGAAGGAAGUUGCGCCGCUCAGUCCUGCAUUGAAACGCUACAGCCUCAGGUUCCCUCAGGUCUGCUCAGAGACCAUGUGCAUUAUACAACCUGAAGGGACUUGGAAGGUCUUGUCUUGCAUCCUUAUUCAUAGACAGAGAAACUGAGGCUCCAAAAGGUGGUUUACCCAAAGCCACAGAGGGAAUUAGUGGCAGAGCUGGGCUCCUCCUGAACUGGGCACCUGUUUCUGAGCCUUUCUGCUUCCCCAGCCUGCUUUCCAAGCUGCUGUCUUGUUUUGUCACCACAACACCCAGGGUAGAAAACAGCCUCGCUCUACAGAGCUCCAGGGUGGCGGCCGGAAGCAGCUUGCCCGUGCAGCCUGUCCCCACUCCGCAACGCCAGGCUGUCACUAGGACAUUCAGCUGCUCUGAUGGGAAUGUCACUAGAGGAGGUGUGGAUGGAGAACACACACCAGCCUCAGGCUCAGCCUGUCCCAAGGACAGAAACGUGCGGUGACUGGGGGCACAUUUUCUCCCCUCACAUGUCAGCCAGAGUGGGCUUUGCCUUUGGCCAGAACCAGUGGGUGUGGCAGAGCAAGGAGCUGGCUUGCAUCUACCAAAACCUUUCCCUCCUGCCUGUGCCCCUGCGGGACACGCACCAUUUCCUCCUGUUAGCCUUCAACAAUUACAUUUCCGUUCAGGAAUUCUGCAUAUGAAUUCUGCACUUGAAAAUAAGAACGAAAAACCAAUUGAGUAUCCCAAGUGGCUGCCCUAAAUAGUUGGAGUGCGCCCCUAGCAGUAUAUUAUUGGUAUUACUAUGAAUACUACCAAGUUAAUUCCUAUUUCCGGGGUACUCUGAAAACCUCACAGACAUUCUCAUUGAAUACGCUACUAAUCCAGUGAGGUAGGCACUUUUAUCCUGUUCUAUAGGAAAGAGGACUGAGGCUCAGCAAGUUUAAAUAACAUGCUCAGGGUUAUCAUGCUGGUAAAUGGAGAGCUGGAAUAGAACAGAAGCAGUGAGCCACAUUUUUAUUCACUACUGUCAGAGCGUAGAGAUCACCUAGCUGAUGCCCAGCGAGAGGCACAAGGUCUGUUAGUUGGUGGUGGAGAUGGGAUCAGCCCAGGCACCCUUGACCACAUCAUGCUGCCUUCUGUUUGGCCGGCCCUGUGAAGACUGACCCUGGGCCAGGGUAGCUCAGAGCAGGAAGUAUCUUAGUAGGGGGUGGUCUGUGCGUGCCUUUCUCCGGCGUCAAUCCCUGCUGCCCCCAUGGGACCUGGUCCCCACCAAGCCAGAAGAAAAGGCCAGGAGCUCAAGUCAUGAAAAGUAGGGGAAUUUCCUCCAUAGCCCGUUAAUCCCCCUUUUCCUACUACCCGGGUGGAGGAAGCGAGGGAAGGGCCAGUGAGAUCAAGGAUGCGGGGGCCGUGGCCCUGUGUUCCUGGGCUUUCUUCAUCUCUUGGCUUCUCCACUUGGUAAUGUGGCCAAGCCGCUGAACUCAACUCUCUCUCAAAUGGCGGGGUCACAUCUAGAACCAGACAGGCCACCAUGGGCCACAGCAAUGUUUUUUCGGAUGGAGCUGUAUUCUUUCCAGCCUCCCUUCAUCUUCCUUCAUCUUCUCUCUCCCCUUAGGGCUGCUCUGCUUCUCUCUUUCUUCCUCCUGCUCCCAUCUCUCCCCUAUCGACCCUGCUUUUCCCACACGAAAUGUGUAAGUCACUGCAUGAGAAGAAACCUGUCAAAUCGAUACAUGUGUUUCACAAAUAAAUGACCAAAUUAGCCAAACAAA
Molecule: long non-coding RNA, 1997 nt
Organism: Neofelis nebulosa (Clouded leopard)
Lineage: Eukaryota; Metazoa; Chordata; Mammalia; Carnivora; Felidae
Exons: 2
Source: RefSeq, a predicted model, not a curated record